CCUGCGCUCCGCUGAUAGGCGGCGGCGGUGGCGGCGGAGGCGGCGGCGGUGGCGACGACGGCGGCGGCGGAGGCGGCGGCGGCGGCGGAGCGUGGGCCCGGUCAGGGCCAAGCGGCGGGUGCGGGGCAUCUGGAUUGGCGGGACCCUUGCGGAAGCCUCACGGCCUCGCAGCCGCGGCCUGGUCCCUGCCCUGGCGCUCUGACCUCCCUUCCCCGCUUCCCCGGGGCCUUGGGACGCCCGUCUGGUGGUGAGCGGAGGCUAUCACUCUACCACUUGAGCCACAACCACUUCUGGCUUUUUCUGUGUUUAUGUGGUGCCAAGGAAUUGAACCCAGGGCUUCAUGAAUACAAGGCAAGUAAGUACUCUACCACUAAGCCACAUUCCCAGCCCUGUUUGGUAAGUUCUUACAUUUUCAUCCCUGUAUUUUAAAAAAAUCAAGCCUUCAACUCUGAGUUCUAUCACAAAGGUCACUAUGGAAGUUCAAAUAAGUGUUUUGAUUGUUUUGGGGAAAGAGGGGAUUACACACUGCUACUGUUUAUUAGGAAAAGUUACACUGAAAGUUGUAAAUUCAAAAAUUACUUGAGCAAAGUAGUAUUAUCUCAAAAGGUAAGAGGUCAUUCAUUGAGUUUUUGAAAUGAUAGUUCUUAGGAUCUUAGAUCUUUGGGAAAUUAAAUC
Molecule: long non-coding RNA, 675 nt
Organism: Perognathus longimembris pacificus (Pacific pocket mouse)
Lineage: Eukaryota; Metazoa; Chordata; Mammalia; Rodentia; Heteromyidae
Exons: 3
Source: RefSeq, a predicted model, not a curated record